UGGGGAAUAUUGCACAAUGGGCGCAAGCCUGAUGCAGCCAUGCCGCGUGUAUGAAGAAGGCCUUCGGGUUGUAAAGUACUUUCAGCGGGGAGGAAGGGAGUAAAGUUAAUACCUUUGCUCAUUGACGUUACCCGCAGAAGAAGCACCGGCUAACUCCGUGCCAGCAGCCGCGGUAAUACGGAGGGUGCAAGCGUUAAUCGGAAUUACUGGGCGUAAAGCGCACGCAGGCGGUUUGUUAAGUCAGAUGUGAAAUCCCCGGGCUCAACCUGGGAACUGCAUCUGAUACUGGCAAGCUUGAGUCUCGUAGAGGGGGGUAGAAUUCCAGGUGUAGCGGUGAAAUGCGUAGAGAUCUGGAGGAAUACCGGUGGCGAAGGCGGCCCCCUGGACGAAGACUGACGCUCAGGUGCUAAAGCGUGGGGAGCAAACAGG
This 429-nucleotide ribosomal RNA is filed under the name Chloroflexota bacterium. RNAcentral's name for it is "Chloroflexi bacterium partial 16S ribosomal RNA". It matches the Rfam family "Bacterial small subunit ribosomal RNA", at positions 355 to 776 of the family's 1533-position model. Lineage: Bacteria; Bacillati; Chloroflexota. The record is from RNAcentral. RNAcentral also lists the same sequence under 1 other name.